GAAGCUAUCAAGGAAGACAUCUUGUCUUCUACACCAUUCAAUGGUUCAGCUGGAGAUAACAAUGAUCAAGACAAAAGGUACCACAGGUUAAACAGCAGACCAUGGUUUCCAUCUACCUUUGUGUUCUCUGCUGAUCACCUGUAUAACUAAUAUUUCUUAAAGAUCAGUGUGUAGCAAUGGAAACAAUUGUAAUAAAGAUCGACAUCACACGCAAGGGGUGUAUAAAGAAAUAAGGGCACCAGGUUUGUUGGCCAUUGGCUAUUUAAAGUGCUACCCUCGUAAAACAAGGAGCAUUUGAUCGUUAACAAGUGAUGUAAAAGACAAUUUUUACCAUAUCAAAAUCAAAUGGGAUUUAGCAUAUUUGGUGACAUAGUAUUUCCA
Long non-coding RNA from Actinia tenebrosa (Australian red waratah sea anemone), 381 nucleotides. RefSeq lists it as uncharacterized. NCBI's taxonomy places the organism in Eukaryota, Metazoa, Cnidaria, Anthozoa, Actiniaria, Actiniidae. The record is from RefSeq and is a predicted model, not a curated record.